AUCAGCAUGCCACGGUGAAUACGUUCCCGGGCCUUGUACACACCGCCCGUCACACCAUGGGAGUUGGUCUUACCCGACGGCGCUGCGCCAACCGCAAGGAGGCAGGCGACCACGGUAGGGUCAGCGACUGGGGUGAAGUCGUAACAAGGUAGCCGUAGGGGAACCUGCGGCUGGAUCACCUCCUUUCUAAGGA
This 193-nucleotide ribosomal RNA is filed under the name Methylobacterium radiotolerans. Its description in RNAcentral is "partial 16S ribosomal RNA". It matches the Rfam family "Bacterial small subunit ribosomal RNA", at positions 1348 to 1533 of the family's 1533-position model. Lineage: Bacteria; Pseudomonadati; Pseudomonadota; Alphaproteobacteria; Hyphomicrobiales; Methylobacteriaceae. The record is from RNAcentral.